UGCCAGCAGCCGCGGUAAUUCCAGCUCCAAUAGCGUAUAUUAAAGUUGUUGCGGUAAAAAAGCUCGUAGUUGGAUUUCUGUUGAGAACGACCGGUCCACACAACGUGUGCGCAUCUGGUUCGGUCUCGGCAUCCUCUCGAAAGACGACUCUGCGCUUGAUUGCGUGGAUCGGAUUCCGGGACUUUUACUUUGAGGAAAUUAGAGUGUUCACGGCAGGCUAUCGCCAGGAUACAUUAGCAUGGAAUAAUACUAUAGGAUCUUGAUCCUAUUUUGUUGGUUUCUAGGAGCAAGAUAAUGAUUAAUAGGGACAAUUGGGGGCAUUCGUAUCAACACGUCAGAGGUGGAAUUCUUGGAUUGUGUUGCGACGAACUACUGCGAAAGCAUUUGCCAAGGAUGUUUUCAUUGAUCAAGAACGAAAGUUAGGGGAUCGAAGACGAUUAGAUACCGUCGUAGUCUUAACCAUAAACUAUGCCAACUAGAGAUGGGACAUCGUUCACAUACGACUUGUUCCGCACCUUAUGAGAUAUCAAAGUCUUUGGGUUCCGGGGGGAGUAUGGUCGCAAGUCUGAAACUUAAAGGAAUUGACGGAAGGGCACCACCAGGAGUGGAGCCUGCGGCUUAAUUUGACUCAACACGGGGAAACUCACCAGGUCCAGACAUAAUAAGGAUUGACAGAUUGAUAGCUCUUUCUUGAUUUUAUGGGUGGUGGUGCAUGGCCGUUCUUAGUUCGUGGAGUGAUUUGUCUGCUUAAUUGCGUUAACGAACGAGACCUUAACCUGCUAAAUAGGAGCGCAUAUCUCCGGAUAAGCGCCUUUCUUCUUAGAGGGACUUUAUGCGUUUCAGCAUGAGGAAGUUUGAGGCUAAAACAGGUCUGUGAUGCCCA
Molecule: ribosomal RNA, 883 nt
Filed under: uncultured eukaryote
Lineage: Eukaryota
Description: SSU rRNA
Rfam family: Eukaryotic small subunit ribosomal RNA
Source: RNAcentral